AACGAACGCUGGCGGCAGGCCUAACACAUGCAAGUCGAGCGAGGACUUCGGUUCUAGCGGCGGACGGGUGAGUAACGCGUGGGAAUGUGCCCUUCUCUACGGAAUAGCCCUGGGAAACUGGGAGUAAUACCGUAUACGCCCUAUUGGGGAAAGAUUUAUCGGAGAAGGAUCAGCCCGCGUUGGAUUAGGUAGUUGGUGGGGUAAUGGCCUACCAAGCCGACGAUCCAUAGCUGGUUUGAGAGGAUGAUCAGCCACACUGGGACUGAGACACGGCCCAGACUCCUACGGGAGGCAGCAGUGGGGAAGCUUAGACAAUGGGGGCAACCCUGAUCUAGCCAGGCCGCGUGAGUGAUGAAGGCCUUAGGGUUGUAAAGCUCUUUCAGCUGGGAAGAUAAUGACGGUACCAGCAGAAGAAGCCCCGGCUAACUCCGU
Molecule: ribosomal RNA, 432 nt
Filed under: uncultured bacterium
Lineage: Bacteria
Description: partial 16S ribosomal RNA
Rfam family: Bacterial small subunit ribosomal RNA
Source: RNAcentral